ACGAAGCUUCCGAGGUUAAUAGCCUACGGGGUGACGGUACCCCCAGAAGAAGCCCCGGCUAACUACGUGCCAGCAGCCGCGGUAAUACGUAGGGGGCGAGCGUUGUCCGGAAUCAUUGGGCGUAAAGCGCGUGUAGGCGGCUCGGUAAGUCCGGUGUGAAAUCUUGGGGCUCAACCCCAAGCCUGCACUGGAUACUGCCGAGCUUGAGUCCGGGAGGGGAGAGCGGAAUUCCUAGUGUAGCGGUGAAAUGCGCAGAUAUUAGGAAGAACACCGGUGGCGAAGGCGGCUCUCUGGAACGGUACUGACGCUGAGACGCGAAAGCGUGGGGAGCGAACAGGAUUAGAUACCCUGGUAGUCCACGCCGUAAACGAUGGGCACUAGAUGUGGGCGGUGUCGACUCCGUCCGUGUCGAAGCUAACGCAUUAAGUGCCCCGCCUGGGGAGUACGGCCGCAAGGCUAAAACUCAAAGGAAUUGACGGGGGCCCGCACAAGCAGCGGAGCAUGUGGUUUAAUUCGACGCAACGCGAAGAACCUUACCUGGGCUUGACAUGUCCGUGUAAACCCUGGAAACAGGGUCCCUCUUCGGAGCGCGGUCACAGGUGGUGCAUGGCUGUCGUCAG
This 620-nucleotide ribosomal RNA is filed under the name uncultured bacterium. Its description in RNAcentral is "bacterial SSU rRNA". It matches the Rfam family "Bacterial small subunit ribosomal RNA", at positions 445 to 1058 of the family's 1533-position model. The record is from RNAcentral.